RNAcentral lists this ribosomal RNA (253 nucleotides) under uncultured bacterium. Its description in RNAcentral is "partial 16S ribosomal RNA". It matches the Rfam family "Bacterial small subunit ribosomal RNA", at positions 524 to 776 of the family's 1533-position model. The record is from RNAcentral.
UACGUAGGGGGCAAGCGUUGUCCGGAUUUACUGGGCGUAAAGAGCGUGUAGGCGGCCACGCAGGUCCGUUGUGAAAACUGGAGGCUCAACCUUCAGACGUCGACGGAAACCGUAUGGCUAGAGUCCGGAAGAGGAGAGUGGAAUUCCUGGUGUAGCGGUGGAAUGCGCAGAUAUCAGGAAGAACACCGACGGCGAAGGCAGCUCGCUGGGACGGUACUGACGCUGAGGCGCGAAAGCGUGGGGAGCGAACAGG